ACAGCAGCAGCCGCGGGAAUACGUAGGGUGCAAGCGUUAAUCGGAAUUACUGGGCGUAAAGCGUGCGCAGGCGGUUAUAUAAGACAGAUGUGAAAUCCCCGGGCUCAACCUGGGAACUGCAUUUGUGACUGUAUAGCUAGAGUACGGCAGAGGGGGAUGGAAUUCCGCGUGUAGCAGUGAAAUGCGUAGAUAUGCGGAGGAACACCGAUGGCGAAGGCAAUCCCCUGGGCCUGUACUGACGCUCAUGCACGAAAGCGUGGGGAGCAAACAGGAUUAGAUACCCGGGUAGUCCCUGUCUCUUAUAA
RNAcentral lists this ribosomal RNA (305 nucleotides) under uncultured bacterium. RNAcentral's name for it is "partial 16S ribosomal RNA". It matches the Rfam family "Bacterial small subunit ribosomal RNA", at positions 505 to 809 of the family's 1533-position model. The record is from RNAcentral.